GUCGGAGCAUCAUCUGCUCCGGGCCGUCUGACCAUUGACCCCUCAUCACCCGGCCUCCACCUCACUGCACCAUCUCUCGAUUUCAUCCCUCCAUCCGCUGUCAUCGCUCUUCACAGCCUUUGUUUUCUCACUGUCAGAAAUGAAUAAUUUUGAAAGUGUUUUGAGCUAUUUUGAAUAUCUGAUGUUUUUAGCAUAUUAUUAGUGCCUGCCGCACAGAGCAAGUGCAGAAUGUGAAUUUAAAUGAGUUUAAAAUCUGAUCUGAGAUCCUGUUUACUGUCGAGCUAAAACAUUUAGCGCCUGUGUUCGCUCCAGCACUGCGAGGAAAGUUUGGGUAAAUUGUUUAAUGUGCAGGGCUGGAGGGAAAUGAUUGCGAGCAGAGCGAAAAGCAAACAGAGAGACAGAGCUGCACUCUUUCAGUAUGUCUGUCUCUCCUCUCUGUUCUCUGCGUCUGAAAGAGACGCACUGGUGUGAUAGAGUUCACGCUGACAGCCUGACACCACUCAUCUGUCUCCUGAGAGUCAAUCAUUCCAGACAGAUUGUGUAGAGCGUCCUGCAUUCAGCAGCUUAAAGACACCAGGAGAGACAGCAAGACUGGAAAGAAGGGACACAGCCAAGAGUGACAGGAAGAUGGAGGAAGAAAAGAAAAGAGUGCAUAACAGUAAAAAGGGUUCAUUUCUGUCAGGAUGGUGUGAGCGAAACGGAGGGACGGGAGGAAGAGAUGAUUACAGCAGCAUAACUUUGGAGCCAAAGGACAGUGAGAGAUGUUUCUAAAGAAGAAGGAGAUACAAGCACGAGAGAGGGAGAGGAAGCGAAGGGUCGAUUUAUCUUAUAUUGACAGGAGCGGCUUCAAACGAUGACCUUGAGGACUAAUGAGAGUAAAUGAGUGAAAUAUUUUUUACUUUUAAAAAGUGAAACUAUAAUCAAAUGGAAGCCUGAAAGAUGGACUAAUGAGCUUCAGCGAUGAUGAAAGUGCGAGAGAGCGCGUGAGGGAUACGGGCUGAUAGAAUGAGAGAGAGAGAGAGAGAGAGGUAGUCGUUUGGCAGAGUCUGCAAUGUCAGGCCCUCACUGCCAUCUCAUUAGCUGACCUGACGACUGCCUGAUUAGAAUAUGUUUGAUGAAAAUUUCAAGGAUUUUUUCGCCCCUCAACAUUCAACAAUUUUUGGUGUGAUUUAAUAAAUAUUGCACAACUUUUUUAUAGAGACAGAGAAACAGGGAGAUAAUUAAUAACGAUUAAAGCAGUUUGGACCGAACUGAUUUACUGUCAUUAUUCACCCCGAAAUCGACCGAUAUAUUCAGAAGUCAGAGACAGAAAUGGACAAAUAUUCAGACGCACACAUCCAGAAAUUUCUUGUGCGCACACUCGCAUGCCAGAUUUUAUCUCACUCAACACAAACUGAA
Long non-coding RNA from Cyprinus carpio (common carp), 1398 nucleotides. RefSeq lists it as uncharacterized. The record is from RefSeq and is a predicted model, not a curated record. Lineage: Eukaryota; Metazoa; Chordata; Actinopteri; Cypriniformes; Cyprinidae.